Molecule: transfer RNA, 74 nt
Filed under: Pterocladiophila hemisphaerica
Lineage: Eukaryota; Rhodophyta; Florideophyceae; Gracilariales; Pterocladiophilaceae
Description: tRNA-Trp
Rfam family: tRNA
About the family: Transfer RNA (tRNA) molecules are approximately 80 nucleotides in length.
Source: RNAcentral
AUAUCUUUAGUUCAACAAGGUAGAACAUAAGUUUCCAAAACUUAAUGUUAUAGGUUCAAUUCCUAUAAGAUAUG